RNAcentral lists this long non-coding RNA (4011 nucleotides) under Marmota monax (woodchuck). The record is from RNAcentral. Lineage: Eukaryota; Metazoa; Chordata; Mammalia; Rodentia; Sciuridae.
CACUUUUACUGUAGUGAGAGGUGAAGAUGUUGUGUAUGUUCUAUUGAGAACAUGAGCCCAGAUACUAGAAAAUGGGUUUGAGUUUUUUUCCUGAAAUGACCUGACUAAACCUGGGUCAUCUCCCUCAGGGCUCUCAAGGGAGGUUUGGCACUCUUAGAACAGGCUAGACCGAAGAUGGUGAAAGUCUUUGAAACCUGCUUUCUGCUUGGAUCAUAGCAUGUGGCAGGACAGGUGUGUUAGUAUUACAAUAACAAAUACCUGAAGUAAAUCAGCUUUAAAAAAGAAAGGCUAUUUUGGCUCACGCUCUGGUGGUUUCAGGCCAUGACUGACUGUUGCUUUGGGCCUGUGGCAGUGUGGUACAUCAUGGCAGAAGUACAUGGUCAGUCCCAUUCACCUCACGACUGGGAAUUAAAAAGGAGUGAAAGAAAGACCAGGGUGCCUUGAUAGACUUUGAAGGCAUGUCCCCAUGACUAGAAGACCUCCCAUUCUGCCACAUCUCUUAUUAGAGAUUCCACCACCUCCUAAUAGCUUCUCAGGCUGGUGACCAAGCCUUUAACAAUGGGGGCAUUCCAUAUGCAAACUACAGCAAUAGGAUUUUUCUGCAUUUUCAGAGAGGAAUAUAGAAUUAAGUCCAAGAAUUAAAUCACAUUGAAGGGCCUGAGCUCAAACAAGUACACAGAACAGCAAAACACACCAAUAUCAAUUCACUGUACAGGAGAUUGAGGUAACCUUUAUGCUGGAAGCUAAGAGGAGAUAACACAUGAUUUUAGUUAUUGUGUUAAGAUUAACAGAUUCUGUUUUUCACUGUGGUAUACGUGGAACAUUCCUCCCUCCCCUUUAUUUCCUCUCCUCAGCAAUUCAGGGCUCUCAAGGGAGAUUUGGCACUCUUAGGUCAGGAUGUGAGUUAGAUUCUAACUGCUCCUGAAGACCUUGCAUCAACAACUGGAGUUAGGAGGAUGGAAUACAAGAGAAUGUUCUAUUCAUUUUCAAACAUAAGUGAGUGUCACAUCACCUAGAGGAACUGUUCGAUGAGAUUGCUGGGCCAGCCCCAGGAUUUCUGUUUCCCAGUGUCUGGGGUGGGGGCCAGGACUUUGGCAGCUCUAACUUCCUGCUGCUGGUACUCUUUGACAUUUAAAAUUUCGGUGUGAAUCAAUAUUAGAAAAUUGUGUUUAUUCAGAAACACAACUGGAAAACACCGACAGAAACCAAGUGCUGGGAAAUGAAGAAUUGGAAUUAAUCCUAGGAAGGUUAAUUAACCAUUUAAAAAAUGUUUGGAUUUGGUGCUUCUCCCCCAACCCUACCUCCACAGUCCCUGAACAACACUGAAGGUCUUUGCAUCUUCAACAGAUGCACUGACACUUUCUGAUACUAUUUCCCUCUUGUUACCUGUGCUUGCAAAGGUCCAAAUAAAACAACAGGGGAGCUGGGUGUGGUGGGGCAUCCCUAUAACCCCAGUGACUGGAGGCUGGGGCAGGAGGAUAGCAAGUUCAAGGGUAGCCUGAACAAUUUAGUGAAACUGUCUCAAAAUGAAAAGGGCUAGGAAUGUAGCUCACUGGUAGAGCUCCCUGGGUUUCAAUCCCCAUUCUGCAAAAAAUAAAAACUAGCAGAAGGCAACAAGAACAACAAAAUAAUUGAACCACUGUUAGAGGGUGGUAUGUACCACUAUCUACUCGCCGUUCUUGUCCCACCUGCCCUGUCACCCUGAAGUUUGACUCCUUUGUGCUUCCCCAAAUUUACAGUAGAAUGCAUUUUGACAUUUUGUACACAAAUGGAGCACAACUUCUCAUUCCUCUGGUUGUACAUGGAUCAGAGUCACCUUGCGUUUGGUCAAGGAACUUGGCAAGAAAGCAUCAGAAAGUAAUCCAAAACGGAAGGGCAGUUGCCAUCUAUCUGGCCUGGGUUCAUUAUGUCACUUCUUUGUUUUCAAGUCACUUGUAAACUGAAGGUAAUCGGGGCAUAGUGGAGGACAGUUAAGGAAGCAAUUCUGGCUCAGUCAGCACUCUAACACAGAGAGUCCUUCCUGAUGUAUGAUAGAAGAACCUCACCAACUUUCUUGUUGCCCUGAGACUUUUCACUCUACAGUGUCAUUUUUUAAAAUAUUUUUUUUAGUUGUAGAUGGACACAAUACCCUUAUUUUGUUUUUAUUUUUAUGCGGUGCCGGGAUCGAACCUAGUGCCUCACAGGCUAGGCAAGCGCUCCACCACUGUGCCACAACCCUGGCUCUACAGUGCCAUUUUUGAUCUAGACUUGGGCUAUGGCCUUAUAGGACUACAGUGAAACUAUCACUUCUUGUGUCAGUCUUUUGUCAUCUAGGGCAAACCUGUGAGAGCCCUCCUUAAGCCUUCCUCUCAAUACUUAGUUCUGUGUGGGGCAGCCCACCCAUCCCAGGUCAUGGCUUCUUAACUGAUCUAAAAGCUUUACUUACAAUCCUUGUUAAGUAACCAAGGCUUAAAAAUGGCUUGCUGAUCUAACCUACAAUUUUAAUGGGAAAGUCUUGGGGAAAAGCCAGUCUUUAGCUUGCUCAGGACAGAGCUUACCCAGGCCAGUAAGAAUUGAAACCCUCAAUACCUCAUCAGAUAAAAAGUAAUGGACACAUGUCUUCAAUAAAUGUGUUUCUUGAUGAAUUAAUUUUGUACAUUAUCAAAAUAACAUAUAUUUUUGUUAUAUGGGCUAAGGGUAUGGCUCAGUGGUAGAGUACCAGCUGGGCAUGUACAUAGCCCUGGGUUUGAUCCCUAGCACCACAAACAAAACUAAAGUUGAAGAUCUUUUUUUUCUACACUCUAAUGGCAAAUCUCGCCCACAUUCCUCGGGACUGAGCUUUUUUCCUUGUGACCUUAGAACAAGUACCUUACAUUUAAAGGUCCUCAAUGUUUGUUAAAUGGCUGACAGACUCAAUUAAUAUAGUUAGCACUUAUGCUGAAGAGAAAUCAUUUACAAUAGGAAGAGGAAGGCUGUGUUGAGGGAGCUGGGAAUCCACAGACCUCCAUUCCAAUCCUUGCUCUGCUACUAACUGGCUGGGACACUUUAGGUCAUUCAGUUCAUCCUCUCUUGCCUUCAGUUCCCUUAUUUGUACAGUGAGCUGGGGGUUAGCUGGCUUCCAGGGCCUUAUCUAGCUGCAUAUAGUUUAUGAAGUGCUAUAUUUAUUUUUGUGUAUAUAUACACACUAAGUUCCACUGAUAGUCUGAUAUGUACACAUCCUUUAUAGGACAGAUAUAUCCUUGUGGUGGUAGAUUAAACCCCAAACAAGCCAAGUGACUUAGUUCUGCUCAGAGCCCUAAAAUGUUUGUAUCUUUGCCAAUAUUUCUGUGCCUUGCUCAUCAUCCUCUCUAACACAAAAAAGUAGGACCUAGAAUAUAUCUGCAGUUGUCUUAGUAACUCCUCACAUUUGCACAUUGCUUUAAAAAUUUUAAAGCAUUUGUAAAUACUUUUAUCUUGUUCUUCCCCCCAAACCUUGUAACUACGGUAGGUGGCUUUGUAUUACUUUAUAAAAGUUUCCAACAGACACAGAUGUGUUUAAUUACUUGCCCAAGAUCAGUUGUUUAAGUGAGAAAGUUAGAAAGCCGUCAGUCUUCUCAUUCUUUCUCAGUUUGUUGAAUUUAUAGUAAUUAGAAACAUGAAAAUUCAUAUAGACGUAAGAACAACAACAAAAAGUAUUGGAUGCUAGGAAUGAAAGAAAAAGGUCAAAAUCAUUGAUUAUAAAUUAUAGCUUUAAAAUGAAUAAUCAGGGGGCUCAGGGUGUAACUCAGUGUUGGAAUGCUCAGCAUGUGCAAGGCUCUGUGGUCAUCCCCAGCACCACCAAAAGGGAAAAAUAUCAUUAAUUUGAUGCUAUCAUUGUGCAGAGAGGUUGGUGAGCUUGUUAAAACACAACAACCCAUUUCUUAAUCUACCUUUUGAGAACACAACUAAGAAUGAUGAAUCAAAGAUCUUUGCAUGUGUUUAAUGUACCUGAUCUCAGAAUUUCUUAAUUCUUGUCUUCUAAAAAGUUUGGUUAUAGCAAAAACAAUAAAGCCC